Non-coding RNA from Dipodomys ordii (Ord's kangaroo rat), 70 nucleotides. NCBI's taxonomy places the organism in Eukaryota, Metazoa, Chordata, Mammalia, Rodentia, Heteromyidae. The record is from Rfam.
GGUAAUGUGGCUCAGUGGUAGAGCGCUUGCCUUGCAAGCAUGAAGCCCUGGGUCUGAUUCCUCAGUACCA